Molecule: ribosomal RNA, 254 nt
Filed under: uncultured bacterium
Lineage: Bacteria
Description: partial 16S ribosomal RNA
Rfam family: Bacterial small subunit ribosomal RNA
Source: RNAcentral
GACGAACCGUGCGAACGUUAUUCGGAAUCACUGGGCUUAAAGCGCGUGUAGGCGGCCCGGCGCGUCUUUCGCUGAAAUCCCCCGGCUCAACCGGGGAAGGGGCGGGGAUACGGCCGGGCUGGAGGGGGGUAGGGGGAUCGGGAACUUCCGGUGGAGCGGUGAAAUGCGUUGAGAUCGGAAGGAACGCCCGCGGCGAAAGCGCGGCCCUGGACCCCACCUGACGCUGAGACGCGAAAGCCAGGGGAGCGAACGGG